CAAACCAAAAGCAUUUAAGAAACAUAUAUGUUUGUUAAACAUAUCUUUUAUCUGUCCCGAGGAAGGUUUUUACCAAUUCACUCCUGAGGGCUUGUAGCUCAGUUGGUUAGAGCGCGCGCUUGAUAAGCGUGAGGUCGGAGGUUCAAGUCCUCCCAGGCCCACCAAUUUAUGAUCGCUGAUAAAGUUUUUUGCGAACGUUUUGAUAGUCUUUUGUGUUGCACUUUUAAAAGUUAUUUGAACUGUUUUAGGGGCCGUAGCUCAGCUGGGAGAGCACCUGCUUUGCAAGCAGGGGGUCGUCGGU
RNAcentral lists this unclassified non-coding RNA (301 nucleotides) under Bartonella bovis. Its description in RNAcentral is "partial 16S-23S ribosomal RNA intergenic spacer". The stretch from base 88 to 161 matches the Rfam family "tRNA". Lineage: Bacteria; Pseudomonadati; Pseudomonadota; Alphaproteobacteria; Hyphomicrobiales; Bartonellaceae. The record is from RNAcentral.